AUUUAUAAGAUCUUUGAUACAUGCAAAAUAUUGGAAAACAAUGUCCGAACAUAUAAUGUUCGCCCCAAAAUAUAGCAAAGACCACAAAAAUGCCAUAAAAAGUACAUUAAGGUCAAAAUUUGGAGUAGGAAAAAAACCAAUAAGAGAAUUCCAUUUUCCUUCCCUCAUUCAUCGGAGAUCUCUCUUUGGGCAUUCCAAAAAGGUAUCACAUGCCAAGUUUGGCCUCACGGUCUAAAAGUUAUAGAGUAAUACAUUUUUAACAAAAAAAAAAAGAGAAAAACCGAAAAAAAGAGGGAUGCAACACGAAGACUUUUCUGGAGGUCACCCAUCCUAGUACUACUCUCCCCCAAGCACGCUUAACUGUGGUGUUCUGAUAGGAUCAAGUGCAUUAGUGCUGGUAUGAUCGCAUCAGUUACUACAUGUAAUGCAAUCAUAUAUAUUCUUUUUUGAAGACUUUAUGAUCCAUGUGCCGUAGGUCCCACCAGCUAUGUAGGAAUACCCUAUCUCAUUUAUAAGAGCUUUGAUACAUGCAAAAUAUUCGAAAACAAUGUCCGAACAUAUAAUGUUUGCCCCAAAAUAUAGCAAAGACCACGAAAAUGCCAUAAAAAGUACAUUAAGGUCAAAAUUUGGAGUAGGAAAAAAAAUCAAUAGGAGAAUUCCAUUUUCCUUCCUCAUUCAUCGGAGAGCUCUCUUUGGGCAUUCCAAAAAGGUAUCACAUGGCAAGUUUGGCCUCACGGUCUAAAAGUUAUAGAGUAAUACAUUUUUAACAAAAAAAAAAGAGAAAAACCGAAAAAAAGAGGGAUGCAACACGAAGACUUUUCUGGAGGUCACCCAUCCUAGUACUACUCUCCCCCAAGCACGCUUAACUGUGGUGUUCUGAUAGGAUCAAGUGCAUUAGUGCUGGUAUGAUCGCAUCAGUUACUACAUGCAAUGCAAUCAUAUAUAUUCUUUUUUGAAGACGUUAUGAUCCAUUUGCCGUAGGUCCCACCAGCUAUGUAGGAACACCCUAUCUUGUUUAUAAGAGCUUUGAUACAUGCAAAAUAUUCGAAAACAAUGUCCGAACAUAUAAUUUUUGUCCCGUAAUAUAGCAAAGAUCACGAAAAGGCCAGAAAAAAUACAUUUCGGUCAAAAUUUGGAGUAGAAAAAAAACCCUUCCUCAUUCAUUGGACAGCUCUCUUUGGGCUUUCCGAAAAGGUAUCACAUGCCAAGUUUGGCCUCACGGUCUAAAAGUUAUAGAGUCAUACAUUUUUCACAAAAAAAGCAAGAGAAAAACA
RNAcentral lists this small RNA (1274 nucleotides) under Arabidopsis thaliana (thale cress). Its description in RNAcentral is "ATSL163770". Lineage: Eukaryota; Viridiplantae; Streptophyta; Magnoliopsida; Brassicales; Brassicaceae. The record is from RNAcentral.